Molecule: ribosomal RNA, 237 nt
Filed under: uncultured bacterium
Lineage: Bacteria
Description: partial 16S ribosomal RNA
Rfam family: Bacterial small subunit ribosomal RNA
Source: RNAcentral
CGAACGGGUGAGUAACGCGUGAGGAACCUGCCUCAAAGAGGGGGACAACAGUUGGAAACGACUGCUAAUACCGCAUAAGCCCACGGCUCGGCAUCGAGCAGAGGGAAAAGGAGCAAUCCGCUUUGAGAUGGCCUCGCGUCCGACUAGCUAGUUGGUGAGGUAACGGCCCACCAAGGCGACGAUCGGUAGCCGGACUGGGAGGUUGAACGGCCACAUUGGGACUGAGACACGGUCCAA